GGUUUGGCCGCGGAGCCUCACGAGUCUCUCUCUCUCUGUUGGUUGCUACUGCAGAGCUGUGGAAUGCUGUGAAGACUCCCUGCCCUGCAGCCCUAGGCAGACUCCUCUCCAGAUCAUCCCCAUCCAAAGGAAGCUCAUCUCCAAGAGAGUUCCCCGUCUUCCACCAUGAACCCCGUUUACAGCCCCGUCCAACCUGGGGCUCCCUACGGCAACCCGAAGAACAUGGCCUAUACAGGUCUAAUGCUCUUGUUCCUGGAAGCGGAGGGGAGUAAUUAGCAUUCCAGCCGAGGAACCAGUUACUAUGGCAGUGCCUAUUGAUGAAACGCGGUUGAUACAAGUGAGCUAAUUCAAACCAGCCCAAGGCCAUAUGUUUAGAUCUGUCUUUUG
Long non-coding RNA from Calidris pugnax (ruff), 387 nucleotides. RefSeq lists it as uncharacterized. The record is from RefSeq and is a predicted model, not a curated record. NCBI's taxonomy places the organism in Eukaryota, Metazoa, Chordata, Aves, Charadriiformes, Scolopacidae. The transcript is spliced from 3 exons.